GGAAGAUUGAAAAGACCCAGCAACAAAGCAAAAGGAUAUUUUGGUUCCAGAUCUACACUGAGAGGGCACGGCCUCCUAUGGUUGGAACUUUGCCCAAAGUUCCAAAGAAGAACUAUCAACUGAGCAGGAGCCCACAGCAGGCCUGAGAAAAACCAAGCAGAAUAUUAAUGUAAAAAAAAAUUUCCAAGAGCUCAACACAGGAGAAAUAUACUAAUGAGGGGAGAAGAAGGGAGACAGAGGCAAAAAGUGAGAGUGGUUACAGGUACUUCAUGCCCACCUCCAAUGCAACUUGGGCCCAGGCUCUAGUUUGGACUCCAAGGACAGCAAAGUCUUGCUAGAUGCAAGAAUUCAGAAAGCUUGGAUAUCAGGCACACCCUGGUGCUAACCAUCACGUGUUAAUCUCACUUUGGAGGAAGAGAAAGACCUCAGGGACAGAGCCUUCUGCAGGCAACAUUGUGUGCCUAGAAUUAAAGAACAUCAUGUUGUUU
This 488-nucleotide long non-coding RNA is filed under the name Equus caballus (horse). RNAcentral's name for it is "lncRNA (ENSECAG00000053845.1)". The record is from RNAcentral. Lineage: Eukaryota; Metazoa; Chordata; Mammalia; Perissodactyla; Equidae.